This 424-nucleotide long non-coding RNA is filed under the name Lytechinus variegatus (green sea urchin). RNAcentral's name for it is "uncharacterized LOC121412393". Lineage: Eukaryota; Metazoa; Echinodermata; Echinoidea; Temnopleuroida; Toxopneustidae. The record is from RNAcentral.
GACGACGAUAAAUAGCUUUGCCCGAAAUGAAGAGGAGCAAAGCGUUUAAUAUCGGUAUUUGCCGAGCCGUGAGAACAUCUAAAUUUUUGAAUGGAUGAAAACAUCUUACAACAUGCACAGGCUGUCCUGAGAGACUAUUAAAUGAGGAUUGUUAGAGAGGAAUAUGCCAACAAGAACUGCAAUUAGGAGUCGUUGACAGGAGGAAACUUCUUAAAAGAGACCACACACUACCUCAUCAACAUGCUUGAAGAUGAUCUGAGCCUGAAGAGGGACAAAGGGCCUCGUGAUAGACUACCUUUCUCUCUGCAAGUAUUGACAAUUCUGCUUUUGUAUGCUGAUAAUUUCAGGGAAUACAUGGUGAUGAGGCAUCAGUGUUGCAAUUAUCUGUGAGUGAUCAAAGAUGUUUCACAAGCCAUAGCAAGAA